ACUCCUGCGGGAGGCAGCAGUGGGGAAUUUUGGACACUGGGCGAAAGCCUGAUCCAGCAAUGCCGCGUGAGUGAAGAAGGCAUUCGGGUUGUAAAGCUCUUUUGUCAGGGAAGAAACGGUGAAAGCUAAUAUCUUUUGCUAAUGACGGUACCUGAAGAAUAAGCACCGGCUAACUACGUGCCAGCAGCCGCGGUAAUACGUAGGGUGCAAGCGUUAAUCGGAAUUACUGGGCGUAAAGCGUGCGCAGGCGGUUUUGUAAGUCUGAUGUGAAAUCCCCGGGCUCAACCUGGGAAUUGCAUUGGAGACUGCAAGGCUAGAAUCUGGCAGAGGGGGGUAGAAUUCCACGUGUAGCAGUGAAAUGCGUAGAUAUGUGGAGGAACACCGAUGGCGAAGGCAGCCCCCUGGGUCAAGAUUGACGCUCAGUCACGAAAGCGUGGGGAGCAAACGGUUUUAGAAACCCCAGUAGUCCCAUG
Molecule: ribosomal RNA, 473 nt
Filed under: uncultured organism
Description: partial 16S ribosomal RNA
Rfam family: Bacterial small subunit ribosomal RNA
Source: RNAcentral